This is a non-coding RNA of Musa acuminata subsp. malaccensis (wild Malaysian banana), 1085 nucleotides long. NCBI's taxonomy places the organism in Eukaryota, Viridiplantae, Streptophyta, Magnoliopsida, Zingiberales, Musaceae. The record is from RefSeq and is a predicted model, not a curated record.
CGCCUCCCUUGUUUAUAAUUCUCAGUAGCGGAAAGAGAGAGAGCACGAAAAAAAUUGAUGAGCAGCAUGGCGGCAGGCGGCGGCGAGGGCGAAGACGAACUCGUCACCCCUGGGGAGCUGCUCGGCGACUCCAGCGGACUAAUCGCCGGCACGGGAGCCUAUGUCGCUCCCAACGGUCGCUCUAUCCGCGCUUCCCUUGCCGGUAUCCGCCGUAUAACCCCUCCCCAAUCUGAUGCUGCCGACCAGAGAUCGACCGUGGAAGUUGUCGGGCACAAGGCCCAGGGUGCUGUUCCACAGCCCGGUUCUGUGGUUAUUGCUCGAGUAACAAAAGUGAUGGCCCGUAUGGCAUCAGCUGAUAUAAUGUGUGUUGAGUCCAAAGCUGUGAGGGAAAAGUUUACUGGCAUAAUUAGGCAACAAGAUGUUCGUGCAACUGAAAUUGAUAAGGUGGACAUGUACCUCUCUUUUCAUCCUGGUGACAUCAUUCGAGCUCUUGUUCUUUCUCUUGGAGAUGCAAGGGCAUAUUACCUUUCUACUGCAAAGAAUGAACUGGGAGUAGUUUCUGCUCAAAGCAUAGCAGGUGCUACCAUGGUUCCAAUCAGUUGGACGGAGAUGCAAUGCCCAUUGACUGGCCAAGUUGAGAAGAGGAAAGUUGCAAAGGUUGAUUAGGCUUACUUCGAUGGUGAAAUUGCUAAACCACAGCUUUUUUCUCAGAAAAAGUCCUUCAAUUUCCAACUCAAGCAACUUGCAAUAUGGAGAUCCUUACUCUAAUUGGCACUAUAAUUAGUGGAAUCACUGUUAAAGUUGUCCAACCCAGACUUUGAUAUAACUGCCUUGCAUUUAUGUUCGCUGCCCUGUUAUAUUCAUGGUACCCGGCAGUUGUGAAACAAUCUGUCUCUGCCAUUAAAGCUACAACUUCUUUUCUCGAUGAAGGAAUAUGUACAGGUAUCUGAGAUUUGUGGACGUCAGAUGUUGAACUUAAUGGCAGCUUAUGCUGUGUGGGUGUGGCAUUUGGUCAAUUUUGCCCAGUUGAGGGUACUACUAUGCUGUUGUGAGUUCAUCGCCUGAGAUUUCUGGCCCAAAUACGG